This 1399-nucleotide ribosomal RNA is filed under the name uncultured bacterium. RNAcentral's name for it is "bacterial SSU rRNA". It matches the Rfam family "Bacterial small subunit ribosomal RNA". The record is from RNAcentral.
AGAGUUUGAUCCUGGCUCAGGAUGAACGCUGGCGGCGUGCCUAACACAUGCAAGUCGAGCGGAGUUAUGAGAGGUGCUUGCACCACUUUUAACUUAGCGGCGGACGGGUGAGUAACACGUGAGUAACCUGCCCUUGAGUGGGGAACAACAUCGAGAAAUCGGUGCUAAUACCGCAUAAUAUCUCUUUGCCGCAUGACAGAGAGAUCAAAGGAUUUAUUCGCUUGAGGAUGGACUCGCGUCCGAUUAGUUAGUUGGUGAGGUAACGGCCCACCAAGACAUCGAUCGGUAGCCGAACUGAGAGGUUGAUCGGCCACAUUGGGACUGAGACACGGACCAGACUCCUGCGGGAGGCAGCAGUAAGGGAUAUUGGUCAAUGGGGGAAACCCUGAACCAGCCAUGCCGCGUGAGGGAAUGAGGCCCUACGGGUCGUGAACCUCUUUUACUCGGGGACAAGGCGUCGCACGUGAUGCGGCGUUGAGGGUACCGAGGGAAUAAGCGUCGGCUAACUCCGUGCCAGCAGCCGCGGUAAUACGGAGGACGCGAGCGUUAUCCGGAUUCAUUGGGUUUAAAGGGUGCGCAGGCGGCCUGCCAAGUCAGCGGUGAAAGCCCGGGGCCCAACCCCGGAAGUGCCGUUGAUACUGGUGGGCUGGAAUGCGGUCGAGGCGGGCGGAACGUGGCGUGUAGCGGUGAAAUGCGUAGAUAUUCGGAGGAACACCAGUGGCGAAGGCGGCUUGCUGGGCUCUAACUGACGCUGAGGCUCGAAAGUGUGGGGAGCAAACAGGAUUAGAUACCCUGGUAGUCCACACUGUAAACGAUGAUUACUAGGUGUGGGAGGUCUGACCCCUUCCGUGCCGCAGUUAACACAAUAAGUAAUCCACCUGGGGAGUACGGCCGCAAGGUUGAAACUCAAAGGAAUUGACGGGGGCCCGCACAAGCAGUGGAGUAUGUGGUUUAAUUCGAAGCAACGCGAAGAACCUUACCAGGUCUUGACAUCGUAUGCAUAGUCUAGAGAUAGAUGAAGCCUCUUCGGAGGCAUAUAGACAGGUGGUGCAUGGUUGUCGUCAGCUCGUGUCGUGAGAUGUUGGGUUAAGUCCCGCAACGAGCGCAACCCUUACCUUUAGUUGCUACGCAAGAGCACUCUAAAGGGACUGCCGUUGACAAAACGGAGGAAGGUGGGGAUGACGUCAAAUCAUCAUGCCCCUUAUGACCUGGGCUACACACGUACUACAAUGGCAAUUAACAAAGAGAAGCAAGACAGUGAUGUGGAGCAAAUCUCGAAAAAUUGUCCCAGUUCAGAUUGCAGGCUGCAACUCGCCUGCAUGAAGUCGGAAUUGCUAGUAAUCGUGGAUCAGCAUGCCACGGUGAAUACAAUCCCGGGCCUUGCACACACCGCCCGUCA